UACGUAGGGGGCAAGCGUUAUCCGGAUUUACUGGGUGUAAAGGGAGCGUAGACGGUACGGCAAGUCAGAAGUGAAAGCCCGGGGCUCAACCCCGUGGACUGCUUUUGAAACUGCUAAACUAGAGUGCGGGAGAGGUAAGUGGAAUUCCUAGUGUAGCGGUGAAAUGCGUAGAUAUUAGGAGGAACACCAGUGGCGAAGGCGACUUACUGGACCGUAACUGACGUUGAGGCUCGAAAGCGUGGGGAGCAAACAGG
RNAcentral lists this ribosomal RNA (254 nucleotides) under uncultured bacterium. Its description in RNAcentral is "partial 16S ribosomal RNA". It matches the Rfam family "Bacterial small subunit ribosomal RNA", at positions 524 to 776 of the family's 1533-position model. The record is from RNAcentral.